CCUACGGGAGGCAGCAGUGGGGAAUAUUGCACAAUGGGGGAAACCCUGAUGCAGCGACGCCGCGUGAGUGAAGAAGUAAUUCGUUAUGUAAAGCUCUAUCAGCAGGGAAGAAAAUGACGGUACCUGAGUAAGAAGCCCCGGCUAACUACGUGCCAGCAGCCGCGGUAAGACGUAGGGGGCAAGCGUUAUCCGGAUUUACUGGGGGUAAAGGGAGCGUAGACGGCAGUGCAAGUCUGGAGUGAAAGGCGGGGGCUCAACCCCCGGACUGCUCUGGAAACUGUACGGCUGGAGUGCAGGAGAGGUAAGUGGAAUUCCUAGUGUAGCGGUGAAAUGCGUAGAUAUUAGGAGGAACACCAGUGGCGAAGGCGGCUUACUGGACUGUAACUGACGUUGAGGCUCGAAAGCGUGGGGAGCAAACAGGAUUAGAUACCCUGUAGUC
RNAcentral lists this ribosomal RNA (439 nucleotides) under uncultured bacterium. RNAcentral describes it as "partial 16S ribosomal RNA". It matches the Rfam family "Bacterial small subunit ribosomal RNA", at positions 338 to 795 of the family's 1533-position model. The record is from RNAcentral.